AACGAACGCUGGCGGCAUGCCUAACACAUGCAAGUCGAACGAGAUCUUCGGGUCUAGUGGCGCACGGGUGCGUAACGCGUGGGAAUCUGCCCUUUGGUUCGGAAUAACAGUUGGAAACGACUGCUAAUACCGGAUGAUGACGAAAGUCCAAAGAUUUAUCGCCAGAGGAUGAGCCCGCGUAGGAUUAGCUAGUUGGUGUGGUAAAGGCGCACCAAGGCGACGAUCCUUAGCUGGUCUGAGAGGAUGAUCAGCCACACUGGGACUGAGACAAGGCCAAGACUCCUACGGGAGGCAGCAGUGGGGAAUAUUGGACAAUGGGCGAAAGCCUGAUCCAGCAAUGCCGCGUGAGUGAUGAAGGCCUAAGGGUUGUAAAGCUCUUUUACCCGGGAUGAUAAUGACAGUACCGGGAGAAUAAGCUCCGGCUAACUCCGUGCCAGCAGCCGCCGUAA
RNAcentral lists this ribosomal RNA (449 nucleotides) under uncultured bacterium. RNAcentral's name for it is "partial 16S ribosomal RNA". It matches the Rfam family "Bacterial small subunit ribosomal RNA", at positions 29 to 523 of the family's 1533-position model. The record is from RNAcentral.